CUUUUAUCUGCCAACUUCUAUUGAGUUUGCUAAGCAGGAAGCAAUAGAUGAACCCCAACACAUCAGAAUAGCUAUGUGCAGAAUGCUGCUAUCACAGCUGACAUCAGUCACAUCACUCAAGCUUCUUGAGAAAUGGGUUCAAUGGUGCUUGAGAUAAAGUGUAGAAAAAAUACAAACCAAAGGAAGAUUUUCAGGAAGCCAGAAAGGCUAAAAGGGGACAGAUCAUGUGGUGUCUGUCUUUCCCUCACACUCUGAGGGAGCACAGAGGUGAACCAGGAAAAGGAAGGUGUAAGUAAACUAGCAAUAAUACCGGACUGCCACGAAGCACUAAGAGAAGGAGGGUUGUUUACAUAUAAUGAACCCUCAUCCUGUCUGUUGGAAUGCUAAUCCUGUCAGUCUACCAUUACUAUAAUACAGAAUAUGUAUUACCCCAGAAGGAUUUGAGAGGAACCCACCGUUUUUUUUCUUCCAGUCACAAAGGAGUCACCAGUGGAAGUGGUGGUGGAUUCAGAUGAUGAAAGGGUAGGAAACAUAUUACCAAUAUCCUAAGUUAAUCCUUAAUUGAAAAAAUACAUCUCUCAGUAAAGACUUCCCAAAAACUUUACAUGAACUGUUUUAUGAGAGCAUACAGGUGACAUGCAGUGGCUUUGCCAGAUCUUAAGAUGUAGUCAUUCAUGCUCUUUUUCUUCCUAUUAUCUCUUUGGCAUAUAGAAGACUGUUCUUAAGGCUAUUCUGUGCAGGAAGUGCUAGGUAUGUUCAUAAAGGUGUGGCUUAGCUCCCUAGCAAUUCCAUGGUAACACGGGUGUAGUAAACUAGCCUUAAGUAAAACAAACAAGCUUUGUGGAAAUCAAAAGCUGAGAAUGCAAGCUGUCUCUUUGAUUAAAGCAUAAAAUCUUUGAUUGUAGGUGGUGAGCUGCACCUUGUUUCCCUCAUCCAGCAGUUUCACAGGGGUUGGAUGCAUUAUGUCUUUCAGUGCUUUCAAUGCUAAUGCAAAGGAAUGUUUUUAAAAAUCCUUUUUGCAAGAUAUGAGAAAAAGAAGUUAAAUUUAUAUAGUCGCAAAAAUGUGGCUAAAGGGAAAUGCCUUGUAUCAUUUACUAAAAAUCUCAUCUUGUACAGUAUGGCUCAUCUGAAAGAGAGCAGAACACUUAAUACUAAACAGAAUCUACACCCUUUGUCAUGUUUGUCUUCCCAGGGAAUAAAGAUGAAUAGCAUAAGCUUCAAUUUUGCAGAUACAUCGUCAGACGUGGAUUCCUACCCACAUAGAAAGUAA
RNAcentral lists this long non-coding RNA (1270 nucleotides) under Meleagris gallopavo (turkey). RNAcentral's name for it is "lncRNA (ENSMGAG00000019430.1)". The record is from RNAcentral. Lineage: Eukaryota; Metazoa; Chordata; Aves; Galliformes; Phasianidae.